AUGGGGGGACCAUCCUCCAAGGCUAAAUACUCCUGACUGACCGAUAGUGAACCAGUACCGUGAGGGAAAGGCGAAAAGAACCCCGGCGAGGGGAGUGAAAAAGAACCUGAAACCGUGUACGUACAAGCAGUGGGAGCACAGGUUUACCUGUGUGACUGCGUACCUUUUGUAUAAUGGGUCAGCGACUUAUAUUCUGUAGCAAGGUUAACCGUAUAGGGGAGCCGUAGGGAAACCGAGUCUUAACCGGGCGUUAAGUUGCAGGGUAUAGACCCGAAACCCGGUGAUCUAGCCAUGGGCAGGUUGAAGGUUGGGUAACACUAACUGGAGGACCGAACCGACUAAUGUUGAAAAAUUAGCGGAUGACCUGUGGCUGGGGGUGAAAGGCCAAUCAAACCGGGAGAUAGCUGGUUCUCCCCGAAAGCUAUUUAGGUAGCGCCUCGUGAAUUCAUCUCCGGGGGUAGAGCACUGUUUCGGCUAGGGGGCCAUCCCGGCUUACCAACCCGAUGCAAACUGCGAAUACCGGAGAAUGUUAUCACGGGAGACACACGGCGGGUGCUAACGUCCGUCGUGAAGAGGGAAACAACCCAGACCGCCAGCUAAGGUCCCAAAGUCAUGGUUAAGUGGGAAACGAUGUGGGAAGGCCCAGACAGCCAGGAUGUUGGCUUAGAAGCAGCCAUCAUUUAAAGAAAGCGUAAUAGCUCACUGGUCGAGUCGGCCUGCGCGGAAGAUGUAACGGGGCUAAACCAU
This 747-nucleotide ribosomal RNA is filed under the name Salmonella enterica subsp. enterica serovar Muenchen. RNAcentral's name for it is "partial 23S ribosomal RNA". It matches the Rfam family "Bacterial large subunit ribosomal RNA", at positions 444 to 1190 of the family's 2925-position model. The record is from RNAcentral. Lineage: Bacteria; Pseudomonadati; Pseudomonadota; Gammaproteobacteria; Enterobacterales; Enterobacteriaceae.